This 433-nucleotide ribosomal RNA is filed under the name uncultured bacterium. Its description in RNAcentral is "partial 16S ribosomal RNA". It matches the Rfam family "Bacterial small subunit ribosomal RNA", at positions 29 to 507 of the family's 1533-position model. The record is from RNAcentral.
AGCGAACGCUGGCGGCAUGCCUAACACAUGCAAGUCGAACGAGACCUUCGGGUCUAGUGGCGCACGGGUGCGUAACGCGUGGGAACCUGCCCUUAGGUUCGGAAUAACUCCCCGAAAGGGGUGCUAAUACCGGAUAAUGUCUUCGGACCAAAGAUUUAUCGCCUUUGGAUGGGCCCGCGUUGGAUUAGCUAGUUGGUAGGGUAAAAGCCUACCAAGGUGACGAUCCAUAGCUGGUCUGAGAGGAUGAUCAGCCACACUGGGACUGAGACACGGCCCAGACUCCUACGGGAGGCAGCAGUGGGGAAUAUUGGACAAUGGGCGAAAGCCUGAUCCAGCAAUGCCGCGUGAGUGAUGAAGGCCUUAGGGUUGUAAAGCUCUUUUACCCGGGAUGAUAAUGACAGUACCGGGAGAAUAAGCUCCGGCUAACUCCGUG